CCUACGGGUGACAGCAGUGAGGAAUAUUGGUCAAUGGCCGAAAGUCUGAACCAGCCACGUCGCGUGAAGGAUGACUUCCCUAUGCGUUGUAAACUUCUUUUGUAGGGGAGUAAUACGCAGCACGUGUGCGUUUUUGCAUGUACUUUAUGGAUAAGCCUCGUCUAACUCCGUGCCAGCAGCCGCGGUAAUACGGAGGGUCCGAGCGUUAUCCAGAUUUAUUGGGUUUAAAGGGAGCGUAGAGGGGUGUUUAAGUCAGGUGUGAAAGGUGGCGGCUUAACCGUAAAAGUGCAAUUGAAACUGGCAGGCUGGAGUGCAGGGGAGGUAGGCGGAAUUCGUGGUGUAGCGGUGAAAUGCGUAGAUAUCACGAAGAACCCCGAUUGCGAAGGCAGCUUACUAAACUGUGACUGACAUUGAGGCUCGAAAGCGUGGGGAUCAAACAGGAUUAGAUACCCGAGUAGUC
RNAcentral lists this ribosomal RNA (460 nucleotides) under uncultured bacterium. Its description in RNAcentral is "partial 16S ribosomal RNA". It matches the Rfam family "Bacterial small subunit ribosomal RNA", at positions 338 to 795 of the family's 1533-position model. The record is from RNAcentral.